This is a non-coding RNA of Acanthosepion pharaonis, 110 nucleotides long. Lineage: Eukaryota; Metazoa; Mollusca; Cephalopoda; Sepiida; Sepiidae. The record is from the annotation of a GenBank genome assembly.
UAUGGCCAUAUAGCGUGGAAACGCCGGUUCCCGUACGAUCACAGAAUUUAAGCAAAGCUGAGCCUGGUCAGUACCUAGAUGAGUGACCGUUUGGCAAUACCAGAUACUGU